CUGUACAAUCUUCUAGCUUUCC
RNAcentral lists this microRNA (22 nucleotides) under Scyliorhinus torazame (cloudy catshark). Its description in RNAcentral is "Sto-Let-7-P1b_3p* (star (passenger))". The record is from RNAcentral. Lineage: Eukaryota; Metazoa; Chordata; Chondrichthyes; Carcharhiniformes; Scyliorhinidae.